UGCUAUGCUGGUGCAUACACCUGACUGGC
RNAcentral lists this non-coding RNA (29 nucleotides) under Rattus norvegicus (Norway rat). Lineage: Eukaryota; Metazoa; Chordata; Mammalia; Rodentia; Muridae. The record is from RNAcentral.